This 1086-nucleotide long non-coding RNA is filed under the name Oryctolagus cuniculus (rabbit). RNAcentral describes it as "lncRNA (ENSOCUG00000034023.1)". The record is from RNAcentral. Lineage: Eukaryota; Metazoa; Chordata; Mammalia; Lagomorpha; Leporidae.
AUGAAAAAAAACAGAUCAAGCCAGCAACCAGGGCAAGUGAUGCUUUCAUUUUCCCACACAACGCCAGAAAAAAAUUUUAAAAAUGGGAGACACCAGGGACCCGGGGGGCUGAAGGGACAUGACAAGUCACCAGCUCCCUUCAACGAAGCCCCCUGCGGAACCCCAUUUCUCCCUGCUCUUUACAGUCGUCUGCAGCCUUUCCCCAUCCCUUCCUGCCUGCUACUCACAAAUUCCCAACCACUCCUCCCACAUUUUCCUCUAUCCCCCCCCGCCCCUUCCUUCUCUUCCCCCCAUCCUACAUCAUCCUCCACUCCAUUCCGCAAUCCUGCCGGCUUGCAGGCCGCCCAUCGGUCUCCCCCCGAGCUACCCCGGCAGCCGGGGCCCAGGUCCUCGGUGCCCCUCGCUCGCUCCCACGCCUCUCCCUUCCCGGCGGCGCUCUGGCUCUCCGCCCCACGACCGCUCCCGUCCAAGCCUCCCUCAUUCGGACCCCUCCGUCCGCGCGGCUCUGGGCUUGACCACUCCUCCACAGCCGCCCGAGAAAGGACGAGGCGGCACCCUCCGCCCCGCACCCCCAGGCCCAUUACCGGCCCCGCCGCAGCUGCCUCCUCCCGCGAUGGUCGCUGCCGCCCCCGCCGCCGCCGCCCUAGCCCGAGUGCGAAGGACGAAGGAGCGAGCGAGUCCCGGGCGACGGUCUGGGAGCUCCCAGAGCAGCAGGGCGGGGAGGGAAGGCGAGUGGGCAGGCCGGCCGGCAGGCGGCGGGGGGCGGGCGGCUCCGGCAACGCGGGCGCCCCUGGCAGCAGAAGCCCAGAACCGCCCCGGCUCCGGCUAACAAUAGGCUCCGGCCGCAGCGCUCCGACUCUUAUAGGCGCCGGCACGUCCCGGCCGCGCCCCGGGGCAGGCUGGGAAAUGGAGUCUCGCGCGGCCCGCCCCUGCCCCCCGCGCCCAGGAGCAUGCUGGGAGCGGCGGGCGGCGACGGCCGCGAAGCCGGAGCCCGGGCCCGGCGCAGCCGGUUUCCGCGCCGGCGUCUUCCCUGCGGCAGCGGACCCUGGGAAGGCGAAGCGCACGACGGAAGCCUCUCGGCCGUAG